Long non-coding RNA from Gossypium arboreum, 866 nucleotides. RefSeq lists it as uncharacterized. The transcript has 4 exons. Lineage: Eukaryota; Viridiplantae; Streptophyta; Magnoliopsida; Malvales; Malvaceae. The record is from RefSeq and is a predicted model, not a curated record.
UUCCUUCCCUUUCCCUUCCCCCCAAAUAGAUUUCCCCUAAUCCCUAAAUUCCCCCCCAAAUCCCUAGGCAUCUGAAGCUCUUCAGCAAACACGACCACCUACUCAUCGUCGUCUGCUGCCGUCUCUGCUGCGUCUCCUUGCCAUCCGUUGUCGUCUCUGCUGCUUCCCGUCGCUGUCCGCUAUCGUCUCUGCUGCAACCAGUGGGGUUAGAUUUUUACAUCAAAGUGGAUUGAAGAGGUACAAACUGAGCGGGGUAGUGAAUUAAUCUAGUUUACAACUGCUUUGGCUUCUGGCUGUGGUCAUUAAGUUGAUGUGAAAUUGUCGGUAGCCCUCUAUAUUUCAGUUACUACUUCUGCUCCUCCUGUAACUAUUGGUUCAACUGAAGCUGCCAUUUAAUCUUCGAAUUAAUAUUUGGUACUGUCGAGCAACUAAAUUAAUAUUUGGUGCAACUAAAUACACCACAGCCAUGGACAUCUGUUUUAGGAAUGGCUGUUCAGAGGCACGAGUAGAGGUGCGUGUGAAGGAGGCCGUGCGUGGGAAACCACUUGUGGGAGCCCGAUCCUGGCUAGCUGCUGGCGUAUUCUAGAAACCUUUAGGGUUUUUGGUGCUUCCACACUAUUGGGCUCAUUUGGGCCAUGCGUAAAUUGGGUUAGGAAUUAAAUUAGGGGUUUUGGGCGUAGGUUUAUUAAGUUUAACAUUUGGGCUGUUAUUUUUGGGUUAAAUGAAUUGCAAAUGGACUUUUUGGACUAAUUUUAUUUAUUUAUUUUGGUUUUUUUGGUUUAGUUUUUGUAUGGGCCCGGGCAAAUUGGGCCUAUUACAAUGAUGUAGUAAGAUUUUAAGAUUUUUUAAUUAUAUGUAAUAUUAUA